Molecule: ribosomal RNA, 496 nt
Filed under: uncultured Beggiatoa sp.
Lineage: Bacteria; Pseudomonadati; Pseudomonadota; Gammaproteobacteria; Thiotrichales; Thiotrichaceae
Description: bacterial SSU rRNA
Rfam family: Bacterial small subunit ribosomal RNA
Source: RNAcentral
GCUCAGAAACUUAAAGGAAUUGUACGGGGACCCGGCACAAGCGGUGGAGCAUGUGGUUUAAUUCGAUGCAACGCGAAGAACCUUACCUACCCUUGACAUGUAUAGAAUCCUAAAGAGAUUUGGGAGUGCCCGCAAGGGAGCUAUAACACAGGUGCUGCAUGGCUGUCGUCAGCUCGUGUCGUGAGAUGUUGGGUUAAGUCCCGUAACGAGCGCAACCCUUGUCCUUAGUUGCCAACACGUAAAGGUGGGAACUCUAAGGAGACUGCCGGUGAUAAACCGGAGGAAGGUGGGGAUGACGUCAAGUCCUCAUGGCCCUUAUGGGUAGGGCUACACACGUGCUACAAUGGUUGUUACAGAGGGAAGCGAAGCCGUGAGGCGGAGCGAAUCUCAGAAAGGCAAUCGUAGUCCGGAUUGAAGUCUGGAACUCGACUUCAUGAAGUCGGAAUCGCUAGUAAUCGCGGAUCAGCAUGCCGCGGUGAAUACGUUCUCGGGUCUU